This 251-nucleotide ribosomal RNA is filed under the name uncultured bacterium. Its description in RNAcentral is "partial 16S ribosomal RNA". It matches the Rfam family "Bacterial small subunit ribosomal RNA", at positions 524 to 776 of the family's 1533-position model. The record is from RNAcentral.
UACGGAGGAUGCGAGCGUUAUCCGGAUUUAUUGGGUUUAAAGGGUGCGUAGGCGGGCUUUUAAGUCAGCGGUAAAAAUUCGGGGCUCAACCCCGUCCGGCCGUUGAAACUGGGGGCCUUGAGUGGGCGAGAAGAAGGCGGAAUGCGUGGUGUAGCGGUGAAUGCAUAGAUAUCACGCAGAACCCCGAUUGCGAAGGCAGCCUUCCGGCGCCCUACUGACGCUGAGGCACGAAAGUGCGGGGAUCGAACAGG